Molecule: long non-coding RNA, 1377 nt
Filed under: Lathyrus oleraceus (garden pea)
Lineage: Eukaryota; Viridiplantae; Streptophyta; Magnoliopsida; Fabales; Fabaceae
Description: Pisum sativum (pea) long non-coding RNA (PSAT_LNC023347)
Source: RNAcentral
CCUCUCUCUCACUCACCACCUCCAUCUCUGUCGCGCAUGAGGUUCCCUCGCGGCGGAGAUUUCCAUAAACCAAAAACAAAGCCAUCAUUAUCUUCCUCUUUUCAAGCUAAACACGAAACCGCCUUGAUUUUCCUUGAAACUGAGCCCUGCGCUCUAAUUGAACAAAAUAGUGGAAGAACCCUAGGUUUUGAAUAUGAAAUUAAAUGAAGAUCCGGUGGAAUUGGAGCCCAAAAGGUUGGGGCUCUAGCUCCUUGAUCUCUAAGCUACAAAUCGAUAACAAAUUCAAAGUGAAAUGAGGAAAUGAUUUGAGUAACCUACCGGAGAAGAAGAAGCAGAAGACGGCGACGACGAAAUUCAGGUAUGCUCUGGUUCGUUAACUCAUUCCUUAUGUUCUUCUUCUUUCUUAGUCCUCUACGCGUGAUGCAUUUCUUGUGGUUGUGCACGAAAUGAUUAGGUUUAGCUCUUGUUGUGUCAGAGCUUCAAGGUGAGGCUCUGAGCAAUAAUGAAGGAAAACAAGCUUUGAAGUGAGGUUCAGAGAGAGAGAAGAGAGUGUGAUUUGUUUUUGGUGUUGUGAUGCUGAAUUGAGAUGAUGAAGUGGAUUUAUAGACUGAGUUUCUGUUAGAAACUCAGUUGAAAUUCACUCCAAAUGAAACUCAAAUGUGGAAGUUAGUUAGCUGAGCAAAUAGUUAGUCAAGGUAGGUUAGAAAAUGAAUCUGAAAUGAAUUUGGUUGGAAUUUGAGAUGAGUCAGUUGUGAGUUUGAGGUUAAUUUGAAAAAUGAAUUUGAAGUUAAUUUCAUCUGAGCUUAAAGUUAAUUUCAAUACUGAGUUAUAGACUAUGACUCGAUUCCUGCAGAAUUAUGUUCACCUUGAUGUUUUUGUUGAUGUUGAACCAGUUAGGAAAAUGAGUUGUGUUAGAUUGUUUGCGGUUAUUAUUUUUAUUACUGUGAGUUAGGUUUACAUGUUAAGGUGGAAAACCAGUUGAGCAAUGCACUGAGUUAGACUGAAUCUAUUUGGAAUUCAUCUUUGCAAUUUCCUGAUUUUCUUGUUAAUCCAGGUUCUGGCUUGGAUUGCUGGGUAUGCAUGGUUUAUAUUCCUGGUUUGCAGAUUGAUUCAUGGUCUGCUCACGCUUCUCAUUUUGGAACUCAAUGCAGAAAAAUGAGACUGAUGUUUGCAGAAUCAAUGCAAUAUGAUUUGGUUAAUGCUACCAUGUGCCAUGUGAUUAGGAUUGAUGUAUCUUAGGUUAGGCAUUAGUUUAGGUUCAUUUGAAUGUACAUUUGUAACAUGUGAUGUAUUGUCAUGGAUUUAUGUACAUGAAAUUUUUGUAAAUGCAAUUUGGAUUUUGAAUGCAAAGUUGUCAAUUGAUUAAAAAUGGAACUU